This 774-nucleotide ribosomal RNA is filed under the name uncultured Neocallimastigales. Its description in RNAcentral is "partial large subunit ribosomal RNA". It matches the Rfam family "Eukaryotic large subunit ribosomal RNA", at positions 24 to 646 of the family's 3401-position model. The record is from RNAcentral. Lineage: Eukaryota; Fungi; Neocallimastigomycota; Neocallimastigomycetes; Neocallimastigales.
GUAGUCUCGCACAGAUGCAUAUCAAUAAGCGGAGGAAAAGAAACUAACAAGGAUUCCCCUAGUAACGGCGAGUGAAGCGGGAAGAGCUCAAAUUUGAAAUCUUAAAGGGUUUCCCUUUACGAAUUGUAGUUUAAAGAAGUGUUUUCUGUUGAGGUUUUGGUAAAAGUUCUUUGGAAUAGGACAUCAUAGAGGGUGAGAAUCCCGUAUUUGACCUUUACUUUCAACUUUGUGAUACACUUUCAAAGAGUCGGAUUGUUUGGGAAUGCAGUCCAAAAUGGGUGGUAAAUUUCAUCUAAAGCUAAAUAUUGGCGAGAGACCGAUAGCGAACAAGUACCGUGAGGGAAAGAUGAAAAGAACUUUGAAAAGAGAGUUAAACAGUACGUGAAAUUGUCAAAAGGGAAGCGUUUGACACCAGUGUUGUUUUUCUGAAAAUCAAUUAAAGAACUGUUUAUGCUAAGUUGUUUAGACUUUAUCAGCUAUCUGUUUAGUUUUGAGCUUUUCUUUAAUGCACUUUUCAGUUAACAAGUCAACAUCAAUUUCUUUUGCUGUAAAAAAGCUUGAGGAAGGUGGCUUGAGAUUCGUCUUAAGUGUUUAUAGCCUCUUGCCUAUGCAGUCGGAGAGAUUGAGGUCUGCAGCGUAGAUCCUUCGGGGCUAAAUGCAUUUGUGCUAAGUUAUAGCAUUUUAUAGACAACUUGUUGACUAUGAUUUGUCUUGUAGCUUACUCGCUUAUGUUAUUUUACCUACGCUUAGGAUGUUGAUCUGUAGUGCGUGCGC